CCUGUCCAUUCAUACAUCACUUGUAUCACAUUCAUUGAGCAUAGAACAAGAUGUAGUCACAACUUUCUAUUAUAUGAGAGUUCUUAGAAGGUCGAGUUUCUAUCCCUCAUACUGCUUACUUUACUUCAAAACUCCUCUGUUUCAGCUAUGUAUUGAUAUCCAUAUCCAUGUUACAUCAUAACUACUUGAACAUAAUAUAUACAUAUAUAUAAUAAAUGAAUACAAUAUUUACAAAUGUUGAUCCAAUAAACAAUAAAGCAAUCAGAAAUAUCUACCUGCUCUGGUACAGUCGUAUCUUUGUAGAUAACAAAAUCAAGAUGAUAACUUUCUAAAUAAUAAUAACUGUGAAUCACUAUAAUACUCCUACAGACACAUAUAGCAUAGUAUUUUCAUUCUCAAUACCUGAUAUUACUUAAGUACUAAUACAUGUAUUACUAUAAUAUCCUGUCCAAUUAUAUUUCCAUGAAUCAUAUGGUUUAUAGCAACCUUAAAAUCUUUAGGUCCUUUGUAUUCAUGAAUUACAUUCCUAUACCAUUAAUACCAUCUAGUGAUGAUUGUAUCAGUACUUUACAAUCAUAGUAUUUAAUUUGUAUAUUCAGUAGGCUCUCACUACCUGAAAUAUACCAACACUACUUAUAAGUCUCAUUCAAAUGAUGUGUUAUCAACCAUGACGUUC
Molecule: non-coding RNA, 676 nt
Organism: Pelobates cultripes (western spadefoot toad)
Lineage: Eukaryota; Metazoa; Chordata; Amphibia; Anura; Pelobatidae
Source: the annotation of a GenBank genome assembly